RNAcentral lists this ribosomal RNA (467 nucleotides) under uncultured bacterium. RNAcentral's name for it is "partial 16S ribosomal RNA". It matches the Rfam family "Bacterial small subunit ribosomal RNA", at positions 28 to 507 of the family's 1533-position model. The record is from RNAcentral.
GACGAACGCUGGCGGCGUGCUUAACACAUGCAAGUCGAACGGAAAGGCCCUGCUUUUGUGGGUGCUCGAGUGGCGAACGGGUGAGUAACACGUGAGUAACCUGCCCUUGACUUUGGGAUAACUUCAGGAAACUGGGGCUAAUACCGGAUAGGAGCUCCUGCUGCAUGGUGGGGGUUGGAAAGUUUCGGCGGUUGGGGAUGGACUCGCGGCUUAUCAGCUUGUUGGUGGGGUAGUGGCUUACCAAGGCUUUGACGGGUAGCCGGCCUGAGAGGGUGACCGGCCACAUUGGGACUGAGAUACGGCCCAGACUCCUACGGGAGGCAGCAGUGGGGAAUAUUGCACAAUGGGCGGAAGCCUGAUGCAGCAACGCCGCGUGCGGGAUGACGGCCUUCGGGUUGUAAACCGCUUUCGCCUGUGACGAAGCGUGAGUAACGGUAAUGGGUAAAGAAGCACCGGCUAACUACGUG